RNAcentral lists this ribosomal RNA (433 nucleotides) under uncultured bacterium. RNAcentral's name for it is "partial 16S ribosomal RNA". It matches the Rfam family "Bacterial small subunit ribosomal RNA", at positions 29 to 507 of the family's 1533-position model. The record is from RNAcentral.
AACGAACGCUGGCGGCAUGCCUAACACAUGCAAGUCGAACGACACCUUCGUAUCUGGUUGCUCACACGGGCGUAACGCGGGGGAACCUGCCCUUAUGUUUCGAAUAACUCCCCUUCGUGGGUGCUAAUACCGGGUAAUGUCUGCUGACAAAAGAUUUAUCGACUUUGGGGGAGCCCGCGUUGUAUUAGCUAGUUGGUAUGGUAAAAGCCUACCACGGCGUCGAUACAUAGCUGGUAGGAGAGAAUGAUCAGCCACACUGAGACGAAGAAGCGGCCGAGACUCCUACGGGAGGGAGCAGUGGGGAAUAUUGGAAAAUGGGGGAAAGCAUGAUCCAGCAAUGACGCGUGAGUGAUGAAGGCCUUAGGGUAGUAAAGCUCUUUUACCCGGGAUGAUAAUGACAGUACCGGGAGAAUAAGCACCGGCUAACUCCGUG